This 73-nucleotide ribosomal RNA is filed under the name Aliikangiella marina. RNAcentral's name for it is "partial 23S ribosomal RNA". Lineage: Bacteria; Pseudomonadati; Pseudomonadota; Gammaproteobacteria; Oceanospirillales; Pleioneaceae. The record is from RNAcentral.
GUGUGUAAGUGCUGUGAGGCAUUGAGCUAACUGGUACUAAUGAUCCGUGUGGCUUGACCAUAUAACACCCAAG